UGGGGAAUAUUGGACAAUGGGCGAAAGCCUGAUCCAGCCAUGCCGCGUGUGUGAAGAAGGCCUUCGGGUUGUAAAGCACUUUAAGCGAGGAGGAAUGGCUCUGGGUUAAUACCCUUGAGCAGUGACGUUACUCGCAGAAUAAGCACCGGCUAACUCUGUGCCAGCAGCCGCGGUAAUACAGAGGGUGCAAGCGUUAAUCGGAAUUACUGGGCGUAAAGCGCGCGUAGGCGGUUACGUAAGUUGGAGGUGAAAUCCCCGAGCUCAACUUGGGAGUUGCCUUCAAAACUGCGUGGCUAGAGUGUGGGAGAGGAAGGUAGAAUUCCAGGUGUAGCGGUGAAAUGCGUAGAUAUCUGGAGGAAUACCGAUGGCGAAGGCAGCCUUCUGGCCUAACACUGACGCUGAGGUGCGAAAGCAUGGGGAGCAAACAGGAUUAGAUACCCUGGUAGUCCAUGCCGUAAACGAUGUCUACUAGCCGUUGGGGGACUUGAUCCUUUAGUGGCGCAGCUAACGCAUUAAGUAGACCGCCUGGGGAGUACGGUCGCAAGACUA
This 549-nucleotide ribosomal RNA is filed under the name uncultured bacterium. RNAcentral describes it as "bacterial SSU rRNA". It matches the Rfam family "Bacterial small subunit ribosomal RNA", at positions 355 to 896 of the family's 1533-position model. The record is from RNAcentral.